GACGAACGCUGGCGGCGUGCUUAAUACAUGCAAGUCGAACGGAAAGGCCCUGUUUUUGUGGGGUGCUCGAGUGGCGAACGGGUGAGUAACACGUAAGUAACCUGCCCCUGACUUUGGGAUAACUUCAGGAAACUGGGGUUAUAACCGGAUAGGAGCUCCUGCUGCACGGUGGGGGUUGGAAAGUUUCGGCGGUUGGGCAUGGACGCGAGGCUUAUCAGCUUGUUGGUGGGGUAGUGGCUUACAAAGGCUUCGACGGGUGGCCGGCCUGAGAGGGUGACCGGCCCCAAAGGGACUCGGAAGGCGCCAAGAGUGCUACGGGAGGCAUGGAUGGGGGUUAGUGCACGAUGGGCGGAAGCCGUAUGCAGCAACGCCGCGUGGGGAAUGACGGCCUGCGGGGUGUAACCCGGGUGCGCCUGGGACGAAGCGUGAGUGACGGUAAUGGGUAAGAAAGCGCCGGCUAACUACGUG
This 468-nucleotide ribosomal RNA is filed under the name uncultured bacterium. Its description in RNAcentral is "partial 16S ribosomal RNA". It matches the Rfam family "Bacterial small subunit ribosomal RNA", at positions 28 to 507 of the family's 1533-position model. The record is from RNAcentral.